This 264-nucleotide ribosomal RNA is filed under the name uncultured bacterium. Its description in RNAcentral is "partial 16S ribosomal RNA". It matches the Rfam family "Bacterial small subunit ribosomal RNA", at positions 90 to 354 of the family's 1533-position model. The record is from RNAcentral.
GGCGACCGGCGCACGGGUGACGUAACGCGUAUGCAACCUACCUGUAACAGGGGGAUAACACUGAGAAAUCGGUACUAAUACCGCAUAACACUAUGAGAGGCAUCUCUUGUGGUUGAAAGUUUCGGCGGUUACAGAUGGGCAUGCGUUGUAUUAGCUGGUUGGUAAGGUAACGGCUUACCAAGGCGACGAUACAUAGGGGGACUGAGAGGUUAACCCCCCACAUUGGUACUGAGACACGGACCAAACUCCUACGGGAGGCAGCAG